Molecule: ribosomal RNA, 259 nt
Filed under: uncultured bacterium
Lineage: Bacteria
Description: partial 16S ribosomal RNA
Rfam family: Bacterial small subunit ribosomal RNA
Source: RNAcentral
CGGCGGACGGGUGAGUAACGCGUGGGUAACCUGCCCUGUACACACGGAUAACAUACCGAAAGGUAUGCUAAUACGGGAUAACAUAAGAAAUUCGCAUGUUUUUCUUAUCAAAGCUCCGGCGGUACAGGAUGGACCCGCGUCUGAUUAGCUAGUUGGUGAGGUAAUGGCUCACCAAGGCGACGAUCCCUAGCUGGUCUGAGAGGAUGACCAGCCACACUGGAACUGAGACACGGUCCAGACUCCUACGGGAGGCAGCAUG